Erigeron canadensis is the source of this 802-nucleotide long non-coding RNA. RefSeq lists it as uncharacterized. NCBI's taxonomy places the organism in Eukaryota, Viridiplantae, Streptophyta, Magnoliopsida, Asterales, Asteraceae. The record is from RefSeq and is a predicted model, not a curated record. The transcript is spliced from 4 exons.
UCUUCUCCAUGUCUUCGAUUCCCAUACAUCUACACCACCAAUCAUUACUACCAUGGCACUCAAAAAAUCUAUCUUUUUCGUUUUCUUCUGCCACCGCCAUCCAUCUAUUUUAUAUAUUUACUUCUUAAUUAUUUCAUCUGAUAGUUUUUUUUUUUACAUCGACAUACUUCAUAAUCAACUAAUGAUAUAUAUUUAUGUGAUCAUUGGAUAUCCACCAGGUCGUGGCCGGAUAAAGAGGUGAUCAUCCGGAUUGAAAUCUACAAUCCAUCAGGGAUUGGAUUUCUUUUGGGGGGUUUCAUCACAUGCGAAGUUCAUAGCCAUUUGUUGACUUAAGAAGAAAACACAAAGACCUUUACCUGUAGAUGUCCAAGUGUCUUAAAGAUCCAUUUUUCAAGUUUUAGUGAAUGCAGUUCUGUUGCUAAAGUUCCCUUCGUUGGUUGCCUACUUUUGGGGCUCUGGUAAUUGCUUGGCCUCCAGUUAGAUAUUUCUAUAAUAAAAAAGUUGUCUAGAAAUUUGAAGAAUAUCGAAGAAGUGGAUUGAAAACCUGGUCCUGGUGCUCUAUUUGUUAAAGUUAGCAUGGGUGGUGCUCCUGGGGAAGGUCGACUUAAGGUGUUACACUAAUUAUUAAGAACUUUCAAUGGCUCUAGAGAAAAUGUUUAGAUGUUUCAUUAUUGGUUAGAUGUUUUAAUUGUAAUCUGUUUUUGGCUAGAAUAAGAAGUUUCCAAGCUUUUGGCCGGAGUAGAGGUAGCGUGUAUUAUUGAAUUGAUCAAAUAAUCUUACAUUUUAUACGGGUUUAUAUAAA